UACGGGGGGGGUAAGCGUUGUUCGGAAUUACUGGGCGUAAAGCGUGCGCAGGCGGUGAUGUAAGACAGUUGUGAAAUCCCCGGGCUCAACCUGGGAACUGCAUCUGUGACUGCAUUGCUGGAGUGCGGCAGAGGGGGAUGGAAUUCCGCGUGUAGCAGUGAAAUGCGUAGAUAUGCGGAGGAACACCGAUGGCGAAGGCAAUCCCCUGGGCCUGCACUGACGCUCAUGCACGAAAGCGUGGGGAGCAAACAGG
RNAcentral lists this ribosomal RNA (253 nucleotides) under uncultured bacterium. Its description in RNAcentral is "partial 16S ribosomal RNA". It matches the Rfam family "Bacterial small subunit ribosomal RNA", at positions 524 to 776 of the family's 1533-position model. The record is from RNAcentral.